CCCUUUGCCGAGCAAGCGGUCAAAUUUCCCCCCUUUCGCCAGCUGAGGAGCAGGCAGUAAGAGGGGUUCGCAGGAAGAUUGAUGCUGACGGUUCCCCCACUGAUAGCUGUGCUUUUAAGCGCAGACGGGAUGCACAGCUUCAUCCUUCUCCUUUUGAGAGAUCUUUCUCAGCUGCCAGUCCAAUCUGCAGCCAAGUUGGGGAUGGCAUGGAUAUGAACUAGAUAUAUCUUUCAUAUAACUGAAAUGACUCAUCCUCGUUUUUUUU
This 265-nucleotide unclassified non-coding RNA is filed under the name Hevea brasiliensis (rubber tree). The record is from RNAcentral. Lineage: Eukaryota; Viridiplantae; Streptophyta; Magnoliopsida; Malpighiales; Euphorbiaceae.